Molecule: long non-coding RNA, 529 nt
Organism: Venturia canescens
Lineage: Eukaryota; Metazoa; Arthropoda; Insecta; Hymenoptera; Ichneumonidae
Exons: 2
Source: RefSeq, a predicted model, not a curated record
CAGCCAAACAAAUUGGCUAGCCUCCGUGAAUUUCGCCGAUUAAUUCUGGAUUUCUGUCAUUUGUCGCGGCUUUGUUGGUAAUUGUCGGAUCAAAAUCAACGCGUCGGAAAUUAGUUUUAAUCCGUGUGAAGAUACUCGUAUAAUGAUAUAUUUUCCGAAUAAAAGUGCGAUCGUUUUUCAAUUACGAAAGUUACGAAUUAACAUCGAGCUCCGUGUCGGAAACCAACAAUAUCAUACCGACUGGAGCCCGACAUCGGGCAACUUCACGGAGGUAGAGCGCCUCACGGUUCUAUAUUCCGUCCACCGUAGUUCGUUCUUAUUCAACCAACAACACACCAACAACCAUGAGAAGAAAGCGUCGUCGCGUCGUGUGCAAUGGACCUGUUCUUUUUCAAGCACUCCCCUCAUAUGGCCAGCACGUGUUUAUUUUUUUACGUUUUCGGAUUAACAAUUAGGUUACAUCAGGGUCUCGAACCCAUUGAAUGAAUACCAUGCUUGGAAUUGAAGAAAUAAAAAGCACGAACACCGA